This 427-nucleotide ribosomal RNA is filed under the name uncultured bacterium. RNAcentral describes it as "partial 16S ribosomal RNA". It matches the Rfam family "Bacterial small subunit ribosomal RNA", at positions 355 to 774 of the family's 1533-position model. The record is from RNAcentral.
UGGGGAAUAUUGCACAAUGGGCGCAAGCCUGAUGCAGCCAUGCCGCGUGUAUGAAGAAGGCCUUCGGGUUGUAAAGUACUUUCAGCGGGGAGGAAGGUGUUGUGGUUAAUAACCGCAGCAAUUGACGUUACCCGCAGAAGAAGCACCGGCUAACUCCGUGCCAGCAGCCGCGGUAAUACGGAGGGUGCAAGCGUUAAUCGGAAUUACUGGGCGUAAAGCGCACGCAGGCGGUCUGUCAAGUCUGAUGUGAAAUCCCCGGGCUCAACCUGGGAACUGCAUUCGAAACUGGCAGGCUAGAGUCUUGUAGAGGGGGGUAGAAUUCCAGGUGUAGCGGUGAAAUGCGUAGAGAUCUGGAGGAAUACCGGUGGCGAAGGCGGCCCCCUGGACAAAGACUGACGCUCAGGUGCGAAAGCGUGGGGAGCAAACA